GAGGGUUUAUCUGAGACCUAAGAUGGCGGCGUUUGCAUAGGGUGCAAAUACUGCAGGCAUACGAGAUGUGGAAAGGCGGCCAAAGGACGAAUCUUCUAAGGAAAGUCCAGGAACUCCAAUAUUUGUGUUGUGG
Molecule: non-coding RNA, 133 nt
Organism: Vicugna pacos (alpaca)
Lineage: Eukaryota; Metazoa; Chordata; Mammalia; Artiodactyla; Camelidae
Source: Rfam